Molecule: ribosomal RNA, 253 nt
Filed under: uncultured bacterium
Lineage: Bacteria
Description: partial 16S ribosomal RNA
Rfam family: Bacterial small subunit ribosomal RNA
Source: RNAcentral
UACGGAGGGUGCAAGCGUUAUCCGGAUUCACUGGGUUUAAAGGGUGCGUAGGUGGAGUGGUAAGUCAGUGGUGAAAUCUCCAAGCUUAACUUGGAAACUGCCGUUGAUACUAUCAUUCUUGAAUAUCGUGGAGGUAAGCGGAAUAUGUCAUGUAGCGGUGAAAUGCUUAGAUAUGACAUAGAACACCGAUUGCGAAGGCAGCUUGCUACACGAUCAUUGACACUGAGGCACGAAAGCGUGGGUAGCAAACAGG